AACGAACGCUGGCGGCAUGCCUAACACAUGCAAGUCGAACGAGACCUUCGGGUCUAGUUGCGCUCGGGUGCGUAACGCGGGGGAACCUGCCCUUAGGUUCGGAAUAAUUCCCUGAAGGGGGUGCUAAUACAGGAUAAUGUAUUCGCACAAAAGAUUUAUGGCCUUGGGGUGGGCCUGGGUUGGAUUAGCUAGUUGGUAGGGUAAAAGCCGACCAAGGCGACGAUCCAUGGCUGGUCUGAGAGCAAGAUCAGCCACACUGGGACAGGGACACGGCCCAGAGUCGUACGAGAGGGAGCAGGGGGGAAUAAUGGACAAUGGGCGAGAGCCUGAGCCAGCAAUGCCGCGAGAGCGAUGUAGGCGUUAGGAAUGUAAAGCGCUUUUACCCGGGAUGGUAAGGCGGGAACCGGGAAAAAAGGCCCGGGCAACCUCGGU
This 432-nucleotide ribosomal RNA is filed under the name uncultured bacterium. RNAcentral's name for it is "partial 16S ribosomal RNA". It matches the Rfam family "Bacterial small subunit ribosomal RNA", at positions 29 to 506 of the family's 1533-position model. The record is from RNAcentral.